UACGAACUGUGCGAACGUUAUUCGGAAUCACUGGGCUUAAAGGGUGCGUAGGCGGCUGCCUAAGUCAGGUGUGAAAUCUCCCGGCUCAACCGGGAAACUGCGCUUGAUACUGGGCGGCUCGAGUGAGGUAGGGGUGUGUGGAACUUCCGGUGGAGCGGUGAAAUGUGUAGAUAUCUGGAGGAACACCGGUGGCGAAGGCGGGUCUCUGGGCCGUAACUGACGCUGAGGAGCGAAAGCGUGGGGAGCGAACAGG
Molecule: ribosomal RNA, 253 nt
Filed under: uncultured bacterium
Lineage: Bacteria
Description: partial 16S ribosomal RNA
Rfam family: Bacterial small subunit ribosomal RNA
Source: RNAcentral